GGGGCUCUCCCUGACCUCUACCAGGGAGUCAUAAGGGCCCAGAACAGCAAAGGAACACUGGAAAGAAGAGCAGAAAAGGUGCUACUGAGUUGUCUGGUUACCAGAUUGUCAGCACUAAAGAUGAGAGGUCUUUGUUUUCUUCUUGCUGCCAAAUGUUAUCAUUCGAGAUAACCACACAGCAUUAAGUGCACCAUAACACCACAGCAAGAAUCAAGUGCACAUUUACUUCACAGACAACUCCUUUGGCGUCUUUCAUUUGGGUUACAGAGCUUAAUGAGCUACAAAGAGAUAUCAUCAAUGCUAGAUGAAAAAUCUCAAAGCCUUCAACUGCAGUCUAAAUACUAGUGUAAGGCAAUCCUUUGCUCUCUGCAAAUUUCUGUGGGAAAGCAUUGCUGCUAGAGGGAAGAGGGACUGUUAAAAUGAUUAUUGGAGAGUACACGUACAAGGCAGUGGACAGAUCUCUGCUAUGUCACACAGGAAAAUGUCUUUCUACUUGCUGCUGACAACACACUUAAGGAGUGAAAUUACCAGGAGUGGAGGGAUGCAGAAGACUUAAGGCCCCUGUUGGUAUUGACUCAUGCUGUGUGUACAAAAAAUCACAUGCUAGUGAAUUGUUGAACCCCUGUUCUGCCUUCCUCCUGCCCUCCCUUUUAUAAAGGUCUUCCUACCUCUACUAAUUUUCAGUUGUAUAUAUAUUUUUUUAAUGGAAAAUUUGCCAUUCUCUAUUAAACUAACGUGACUAAAAUGGAAAU
Molecule: long non-coding RNA, 752 nt
Organism: Pogoniulus pusillus (Red-fronted tinkerbird)
Lineage: Eukaryota; Metazoa; Chordata; Aves; Piciformes; Lybiidae
Exons: 3
Source: RefSeq, a predicted model, not a curated record